This 71-nucleotide transfer RNA is filed under the name Loxodonta africana (African savanna elephant). It matches the Rfam family "tRNA". From Rfam's summary of the family: Transfer RNA (tRNA) molecules are approximately 80 nucleotides in length. Their secondary structure includes four short double-helical elements and three loops (D, anti-codon, and T loops). The record is from Rfam by way of RNAcentral. Lineage: Eukaryota; Metazoa; Chordata; Mammalia; Proboscidea; Elephantidae.
GCUUUGGUGGUUCAGUGGUAGAAUUCUCACUUUCCAUGUGGGAGACCUAGGUUCCAUUCCUGGCCAACGCA